GACGAACGCUGGCGGCGUGCUUAACACAUGCAAGUCGAGCGGUGAGGCCCUUUCGGGGGUACACGAGCGGCGAACGGGUGAGUAACACGUGGGUGACCUGCCCUCAGCUCUGGGAUAAGCCUGGGAAACCGGGUCUAAUACCGGAUAUGACUCCAUGACGCAUGUUGUGGGGUGGAAAGCCUUGUGCGGCUGAGGAUGGGCCCGCGGCCUAUCAGCUUGUUGGUGGGGNGAUGGCCUACCAAGGCGACGACGGGUAGCCGGCCUGAGAGGGCGACCGGCCACACUGGGACCU
RNAcentral lists this ribosomal RNA (292 nucleotides) under uncultured bacterium. RNAcentral's name for it is "partial 16S ribosomal RNA". It matches the Rfam family "Bacterial small subunit ribosomal RNA", at positions 28 to 321 of the family's 1533-position model. The record is from RNAcentral.